This 169-nucleotide ribosomal RNA is filed under the name uncultured gamma proteobacterium DCM-FREE-14. RNAcentral describes it as "partial 16S ribosomal RNA". It matches the Rfam family "Bacterial small subunit ribosomal RNA", at positions 8 to 177 of the family's 1533-position model. The record is from RNAcentral. Lineage: Bacteria; Pseudomonadati; Pseudomonadota; Gammaproteobacteria.
AGAGUUUGAUCAUGGCUCAGAUUGAACGCUGGCGGUAGGCUUAACACAUGCAAGUCGUGCGAGAAAGUAUCUUCGGAUAUGAGUAGAGCGGCGGACGGGUGAGUAACGCGUAGGAAUCUACCUAGUAGAAGGGGAUAGCCCGGGGAAACCCGGAUUAAUACCGUAACCC